This 396-nucleotide ribosomal RNA is filed under the name Turtur afer (blue-spotted wood-dove). RNAcentral's name for it is "partial 12S ribosomal RNA". It matches the Rfam family "Bacterial small subunit ribosomal RNA", at positions 794 to 1382 of the family's 1533-position model. Lineage: Eukaryota; Metazoa; Chordata; Aves; Columbiformes; Columbidae. The record is from RNAcentral.
GCCUAGCCCUAAAUCUUGAUGCUUACCCCUACUAAAGCAUCCGCCUGAGGACUACGAGCACAAACGCUUAAAACUCUAAGGACUUGGCGGUGCCCCAAACCCACCUAGAGGAGCCUGUUCUAUAAUCGACAACCCACGAUACACCCGACCACUUCUUGCCUAACCAGCCUACAUACCGCCGUCGCCAGCCCACCUCCCUUGAGAGUACAACAGUGAGCACAAUCGCCUUAACCCCGCUAAUAAGACAGGUCAAGGUAUAGCCCAUGAAGUGGAAGAAAUGGGCUACAUUUUCUAGCCUAGAAAACCAAACGAAAAGGGACAUGAAAUAGCCCCUAGAAGGCGGAUUUAGCAGUAAAGGGGAACAAUAAAGUCCCCUUUAAACCGGCUCUGAGGCAC